RNAcentral lists this long non-coding RNA (1182 nucleotides) under Manacus vitellinus (golden-collared manakin). Its description in RNAcentral is "lncRNA (ENSMVIG00005007037.1)". Lineage: Eukaryota; Metazoa; Chordata; Aves; Passeriformes; Pipridae. The record is from RNAcentral.
GACGGGGCGGUGCGUGGCUCGUCACGGGUGGGCACAGCUCCACACGGGUGCACAUGGGUGUGCCCAGCUCGGCACAGCUUUACACGGGUAUUCACAACCAUACAUGGGUGUGCACAGCAGUACAUGGUUGUGCCCGGCUGUGCACUGCUUUACAUGGGGGUUCAUGACUGUUCACGGCUGGACAUGGGUGUGCACAAGGUUUCACGGGUGUUCAUGGCUCUACAUGGGUUCUCAUGGCUGUGCACAGGAUGUUCACAGCAGUACACAGCUAUAUCCACCUGUACACGGCUGUUCAUGGCUGUUCACAGCUGUUCAUGGCUGUUCACAGCUGUACACGGGUGUUCACGGGUGUUUAUGGCCACACAUGGCUGUACAUGGGUGUUCAUGGGUGUGCACAGCUCUACACAGCUCCACACCUGUGUUCAUGGUUGUUCAUGGCUCUACAUGGGUGUGCACAACUUUACAUGGGUGUUCAUGGCUGUACACAGGUGUUCAUGCCUGUACAUGUGUGUUCAUUGCUGUACAUGGGUGUGCAGAGCAGUACACGUGUGUCCCUGGCUGUGCACGGCUGUUCAUGGCUCUCACAGCUGUACACAGCUGUACACAGCUGUGCCCAACUUUACACGUCCGUUCACAAAUGUUCACGGCUGGGCACAGGUGUUCUGGCACUACACGGCUGUACACACGUGUUCACGUGUGUUCUCGGCCGUACACAGCUGCCCUGCACACUUACACACAUGUGCUCUGCCCCCACCCUACAGUGACCCCCCUCGAGUCCCUCCCUGUGCCGUGUCCUCCCCGGGAGCUGCCGAGCACCGUCCCCAUCCCGGUGGUCCCGGGACAGCUCUGACCUUUCCCGUGGGGCAGCCCCGGGUGACACGGGGCUGGCACGGGAGGGUGGGGGUGGGUGCUCAGCCCCGGGGGUGUAUUUGGGGGUCUCACAGUCCCGGGUGACACCGGGUGACACGGGGUGACACAGGACGCAGGGUUGGUGGUGGGUGCUCAGCCCCGGGGGUGUAUUUUGGGAUCUCACAGCCCCAGGUCACACAGGACAAGGGGUGGGAGGCGGGUGCUCAGCCCCAGGGGUGUAUUUUGGGGUGCCGGGGGCUGGCACGGCUGGUGCUGCGGGGGUGGCACCGCCGGGGUCCCGGUGUCGCCGAGAAUCCAUCGGGGCCGCGGGGA